UGAGGAAUAUUGGUCAAUGGGCGCAAGCCUGAACCAGCCAAGUAGCGUGAAGGAUGACUGCCCUAUGGGUUGUAAACUUCUUUUAUACGGGAACAAACCUUGGUACGCGUACCAAAUUGCGUGUACCGUAUGAAUAAGCAUCGGCUAACUCCGUGCCAGCAGCCGCGGUAAUACGGAGGAUGCGAGCGUUAUCCGGAUUUAUUGGGUUUAAAGGGAGCGUAGGUGGUCUGUUAAGCCAGCUGUGAAAUACUGUAGCUCAACUACAGCCGUGCAGUUGGAACUGGCAGACUUGAGUGCACUAGAGGAAGGUGGAAUUCGUGGUGUAGCGGUGAAAUGUUUAGAUAUCACGAAGAACUCCGAUUGCGAAGGCAGCCUUCUGGAGUGUAACUGACACUGAGGCUCGAAAGUGUGGGUAUCGAACAGG
Molecule: ribosomal RNA, 424 nt
Filed under: uncultured prokaryote
Also listed under: 1 other name
Description: bacterial SSU rRNA
Rfam family: Bacterial small subunit ribosomal RNA
Source: RNAcentral